This 497-nucleotide ribosomal RNA is filed under the name uncultured bacterium. RNAcentral describes it as "partial 16S ribosomal RNA". It matches the Rfam family "Bacterial small subunit ribosomal RNA", at positions 28 to 507 of the family's 1533-position model. The record is from RNAcentral.
GAUGAACGCUGGCGGCGUGCCUAAUACAUGCAAGUCGAGCGAACGGACGAGAAGCUUGCUUUUCUGAUGUUAGCGGCGGACGGGUGAGUAACACGUGGAUAACCUACCUAUAAGACUGGGAUAACUUCGGGAAACCGGAGCUAAUACCGGAUAAUAUUUUGAACCGCAUGGUUCAAAAGUGAAAGACGGUCUUGCUGUCACUUAUAGAUGGAUCCGCGCUGCAUUAGCUAGUUGGUAAGGUCACGGCUUACCAAGGCAACGAUGCAUAGCCGACCUGAGAGGGUGAUCGGCCACACUGGAACUGAGACACGGUCCAGACUCCUACGGGAGGCAGCAGUAGGGAAUCUUCCGCAAUGGGCGAAAGCCUGACGGAGCAACGCCGCGUGAGUGAUGAAGAUCUUCGGAUCGUAAAACUCUGUUAUUAGGGAAGAACAUAUGUGUAAGUAACUGUGCACAUCUUGACGGUACCUAAUCAGAAAGCCACGGCUAACUACGUG